UUACACACUGAUUAUUUCGUAUGUAAUUGGAGUCUAUUGUCAAAGAUGUCUGGAACCGGAGAAUGUAUUUACAUGUCCAAGAAGUUCUAACGCAUGGCUUAUUGAAUCUCGUCAAAAGUUAAAAACAGUGACCACUACCAUUGUUUGGAAACAGACAUUCAGACUCUGAUUGAAUGUUGUAUGUGGCCGUUAAAUAUAUCUAAAGGACACAGACCUAGAUAUAACUUACGUAAAAAUGUAAUACAAGAGAUUCCGUGUGAAGAUGAAUAUUUCAUUCCAUAUGAUUAUACAUCUAACAGCUACCACGACAAUGGACCAAGUCAUUGUAAAAUCCAAAAAGGUAGCUGCACGGGAGAUGGAAUGAAAAUGUGUAGCACCGGAAGUACAACAAGGGACAUAACUUGUUACUGUGAUCAUACUCAAAAUUAUGUACCACGAAUGCUCUCCACUAGUCCUUGUUUCCUCCAGUUUGAAAACGAGUGUAUAGUUACAUCUAGCUGUAAUGUUAUAAUUGAGUAUAGAUUCAAAUUGAUGUACAGUACAGAAAGUCAGUGCACGACGACGAAUUCAUAUGCAACUAUAUCAGAUUUUCUUCUAACUACGGACAACGCUUCCAACAUAAUCAGCAAUAGUGUUUCGGAUAAUAGUCAAGUAAAACGUGAUUCCAAAUUGUCUAAUGAGCGAUUGCUAUUGAUAAUAUACAUACUUUCUGCGAUACUUGCUGUACUCCUUUCAUGUAUAACUGUGUACUUUGUUAGGAAUACCCUUGCAAAGAAAGAUCAAACUACAAAUGUCCUGAAGUCUCAUAGAAUUCGGCAUAUUGGUGAGAACCAAGAAAGCCAAUACGUAGAUAUGCAUGCAAAUCUAGAAAGGAACAAUGAAGGUAUCCCUGUUACGUCUAUCGGUGCGCAAAACAUCUCAGCCGGGAUAAUGUUUGAAAUGCAAUCCCAUAUGACAAAUGAAUUAUCUGUUACUUCAACGUCGUUUCGUAGGAACCUUAAUGAAAAUAGCAAUUCAUCUAGCUAACAUACAAACGGACCAGGAUAUUUGAAUCCAUAUCAACCUUUAAGGAUUGAUUCAAGCCAAAGUGAACAUCCGUAUACAGAUUGAAAUGCAGAUGCUACAACACUUAACACAUACAUUGCAGAAUAUCAGAGAAUAACAGCCCUUCGAUGUCUAAAGACAUUUAAGAUCAUGACGUGAGUCGUUCUGGUAC
Mytilus californianus (California mussel) is the source of this 1216-nucleotide long non-coding RNA. RefSeq lists it as uncharacterized. The transcript is spliced from 5 exons. The record is from RefSeq and is a predicted model, not a curated record. Lineage: Eukaryota; Metazoa; Mollusca; Bivalvia; Mytilida; Mytilidae.